UCUCUGGUGGUCCAGUGGCUAAGAAGCCAUGCUGCUAAUAUGGGAGGUCCAGGUUCAAUCCCUGGUCAGGGAA
RNAcentral lists this transfer RNA (73 nucleotides) under Capra hircus (goat). It matches the Rfam family "tRNA". From Rfam's summary of the family: Transfer RNA (tRNA) molecules are approximately 80 nucleotides in length. Their secondary structure includes four short double-helical elements and three loops (D, anti-codon, and T loops). RNAcentral also lists the same sequence under 1 other name. The record is from Rfam by way of RNAcentral. Lineage: Eukaryota; Metazoa; Chordata; Mammalia; Artiodactyla; Bovidae.